GACGAACGCUGGCGGCGGGCUUAACACAUGCAAGUCGGACGCUCCGGUUUUGGCCGGGGCGUGGCGCACGGGUGCGUAACACGUAGGUAACCUGCCCUCGAGUGGGGAAUAACCCCGGGAAACCGGGGCUAAUACCGCAUACAGACUGGGAGCUGCAUGGCUCUCAGUUGAAAGCCGUGCACCGGUGACGGUGCGGGCGCUCGGGGAUGGGCCUGCGGCGGAUUAGGUAGUUGGUGGGGUAAGGGCCUACCAAGCCUGCGAUCCGUAGCUGGUCUGAGAGGAUGAUCAGCCACACUGGCACUGAGACACGGGCCAGACUCCUACGGGAGGCAGCAGUGAGGAAUUUUGCGCAAUGGAGGCAACUCUGACGCAGCCACGCCGCGUGCAGGAGGACGCCCCUACGGGGUGUAAACUGCUUUUCGGGGGGAAGAGGAAGGACGGUACCCCCGGAAGAAGUCUCGGCUAACUACGUG
RNAcentral lists this ribosomal RNA (473 nucleotides) under uncultured bacterium. Its description in RNAcentral is "bacterial SSU rRNA". It matches the Rfam family "Bacterial small subunit ribosomal RNA", at positions 28 to 507 of the family's 1533-position model. The record is from RNAcentral.